Molecule: long non-coding RNA, 1202 nt
Organism: Nematostella vectensis (starlet sea anemone)
Lineage: Eukaryota; Metazoa; Cnidaria; Anthozoa; Actiniaria; Edwardsiidae
Exons: 3
Source: RefSeq, a predicted model, not a curated record
GUCAUGCGCAGAACCGACGUAAAACGGCGCGGUGCAGUAUCUUCGACCAUCUUCGUGCCAUCCGCGCCAUUCAACAUGGUGGAAAGACGGCUAGUUCAGCGAUAUCGUACAAUGAUUUAGGGUCUUCUCAAGGAUACGGCUUAUUUCUUUAACUGCCAACUGAAAGGAUCCUGUUGUGUGCUGUUGGAUUGUGGUAAUGGAACAAAUACAGCAUGGCUAAAAGGAUGUCACUUCAUACAUCUCCAAUGUCAAAGUCGAACUGAUGUGUGGUCUUAUAAGACCUCUGCCUCACAGGCGAGGCAUCCCCUGUGUCUAUAAUGCGUUCAAUUAUUGAGUAUCUUCCUAAUUGUUCAACUGAUGAUGCUAAACAGUCUCUGUCUGGAAGGUGUGACGGGUCAAAGGUUGAACCUGAAGUUGCACGACCUGACUGAAAGGUCAUAUCCUCUGGGAACUCGAUUGUUUUAGUUUGGUUGUCUAGUUUUGAAAAAAGGCAACUCUAGUGUUCUCAUACAUUUCAAUCCCUUCUGAUGUAGGAUUAGGCAGACGAAUAGGUACCAUAUUUCCUUCUGAAACAGUGACUUAUCUGUAGCACCUUUGAUUGAAAACAUAUAAGGGAGAUCCUCUCUCCGUUCAAUAAGGACGUUCAAUAACCUUUCUCCUCUAACGUGUUGUACCAAGAAAGAGCCUUUCCCCUAAGAGUUAAGUGGUAAAGCGAGGGCUUGUCUGGCGUCAUUCGAAUUACAAAAGGUUGCAAGCUGAUGGAAAAUUGUAAAAAAUUCAGCAUGUUUUUUCUUCCUCGCCUCCCGAAAGUAUAGGAAAUAAAGGCUUUUUAGCGCUACAUUUUCUGUGGCUAGACCCGCGAUACUAGCGUCGUGGGCUCUCUGUAAGUUUUGAAAACGAUGGUUAACAUUGGUGUGUAACGCCAUGUAAUUUUUACCACGAGCUAAUCCAUUUUUUUCCUUUUUUGUUCUUAAGCAAUCGCUAUGAAGUUCAACGAGUAUGGUGUUGUCAGUGCCACUGUCCCUAAGGUUUAAAUUAGUAUCAUAGUCAAUUUUGUCACUGGCGUCUACGAAAUCUUGUCGUCAGUUUGGCGUUGUUAAAGAAUAAAAUCUAUAACUAAAAAAAGGUUGAACAUACCCAAUUGCUAAGCUCUGCCUUAAUCAAAGUUGCCCAAAACGAAAUGGAAAAUUGCCCAAAACAAA